GACGAACGCUGGCGGCGUGCUUAACACAUGCAAGUCGAACGCUGAAGCCUAGCUUUUGUUGGGUGGAUGAGUGGCGAACGGGUGAGUAACACGUGAGUAACCUGCCCCCUUCUUUGGGAUAACGCCCGGAAACGGGUGCUAAUACUGGAUAUUCACUGAUCUUCGCAUGGGGGUUGGUGGAAAGGUUUUUUCUGGUGGGGGAUGGGCUCGCGGCCUAUCAGCUUGUUGGUGGGGUGAUGGCCUACCAAGGCUUUGACGGGUAGCCGGCCUGAGAGGGUGACCGGUCACAUUGGGACUGAGAUACGGCCCAGACUCCUACGGGAGGCAGCAGUGGGGAAUAUUGCCCAAUGGGCGAAAGCCUGAUGCAGCGACGCCGCGUGAGGGAUGGAGGCCUUU
This 396-nucleotide ribosomal RNA is filed under the name uncultured Actinomyces sp. Its description in RNAcentral is "bacterial SSU rRNA". It matches the Rfam family "Bacterial small subunit ribosomal RNA", at positions 28 to 419 of the family's 1533-position model. The record is from RNAcentral. Lineage: Bacteria; Bacillati; Actinomycetota; Actinomycetes; Actinomycetales; Actinomycetaceae.